This 494-nucleotide ribosomal RNA is filed under the name uncultured bacterium. RNAcentral describes it as "partial 16S ribosomal RNA". It matches the Rfam family "Bacterial small subunit ribosomal RNA", at positions 28 to 507 of the family's 1533-position model. The record is from RNAcentral.
GACGAACGCUGGCGGCGUGCUUAACACAUGCAAGUCGAACGGUGAAACGCCUUCCUUUUUGGUGUGUGUGGAGGAGUGGCGAACUGGGGAGUAACACGUUAGUAACCUGCCCCCUUCUGCUGGAUAACCGCAUGAAAGUGUUGCUAAUACGGGAUAUUCUGAGUCUGUCGCAUGAUUGGUCUGGGAAGGAUUUUGUGUCGGUUGGGGAUGGGGUCGCGGCUUAUCAGCUUGUUGGUGAGGUGAUGGCCUACCAAGGCGGUGAGGGGUAGCCGGCCUGAGAGGGUCGACCGCACUGGUGGGAAUGCGCGACCGAGACGACUACUACGGGCGGCAGUAGGGGGUCAUACUGAAUAAUGGGAGGCCGGAUGAUGCAGCGACGCGGCGGGAGGGAUGGAGUCCGUAGGGUUGUGAACUUCUUUCGCGAGAGAAGAAGUCCUGAAUCGUCUGUGGGUGGGUUGACGGUAGCUGGAUAAGAAGCGACGGCUAACUACGUG